RNAcentral lists this ribosomal RNA (465 nucleotides) under uncultured bacterium. RNAcentral's name for it is "partial 16S ribosomal RNA". It matches the Rfam family "Bacterial small subunit ribosomal RNA", at positions 28 to 507 of the family's 1533-position model. The record is from RNAcentral.
GACGAACGCUGGCGGCGUGCUUAACACAUGCAAGUCGAACGGAAAGGCCCCCUUGUGGGGUACUCGAGUGGCGAACGGGUGAGUAACACGUGAGUAACCUACCCUUGACUUUGGGAUAACUUCAGGAAACUGGGGCUAAUACCGGAUAGGAGCUCCUGCUGCAUGGUGGGGGUUGGAAAGUUUUGGCGGUUGGGGAUGGACUCGCGGCUUAUCGGCUUGUUGGUGGGGUAGUGGCUCACCAAGGCUUUGACGGGUAGCCGGCCUGAGAGGGUGACCGGCCACAUUGGGACUGAGAUACGGCCCAGACUCCUACGGGAGGCAGCAGUGGGGAAUAUUGCACAAUGGGCGGAAGCCUGAUGCAGCAACGCCGCGUGCGGGAUGACGGCCUUCGGGUUGUAAACCGCUUUCGCCUGUGACGAAGCGUGAGUGACGGUAAUGGGUAAAGAAGCACCGGCUAACUACGUG